Molecule: transfer RNA, 87 nt
Filed under: Nevskiaceae bacterium
Lineage: Bacteria; Pseudomonadati; Pseudomonadota; Gammaproteobacteria; Nevskiales; Nevskiaceae
Also listed under: 2 other names
Description: Sinobacteraceae bacterium tRNA-Leu
Rfam family: tRNA
About the family: Transfer RNA (tRNA) molecules are approximately 80 nucleotides in length. Their secondary structure includes four short double-helical elements and three loops (D, anti-codon, and T loops).
Source: RNAcentral
GCGACUGUGGCGAAAUCGGUAGACGCCCGAGACUUAAAAUCUUGUGCCAGCAAUGGCGUGCCGGUUCGAGUCCGGCCAGUCGCACCA